GCAAACUUGGUCAUUUAGAGGAAGUAAAAGUCGUAACAAGGUUUCCGUAGGUGAACCUGCGGAAGGAUCAUUAUCGAAUGAACUUGGCUUGCUGUUGCUGGUCCUCUCGGGGGCAUGUGCACGCUUGUCAUCUUUAUUUCUCCACCUGUGCACUUUUGUAGAACUGGGAAAUAACACUUAUCUGAGCGAGGAUUAACUCACUCGGGAUGUGGAGAUUGCUGCUGCGUCGUAAGGAAGCCCAGCUCUCUUCUAGAUGGUUUUCCAGGUCUACGAUUUUUCAUACACCCAAUGAAAUGUAACAGAAUGUUAUCACUAGGUCUUUGUACCUAUAAAACUAUUAUACAACUUUCAGCAACGGAUCUCUUGGCUCUCGCAUCGAUGAAGAACGCAGC
RNAcentral lists this unclassified non-coding RNA (392 nucleotides) under uncultured fungus. RNAcentral describes it as "partial contains small subunit ribosomal RNA, internal transcribed spacer 1, and 5.8S ribosomal RNA". The stretch from base 1 to 73 matches the Rfam family "Eukaryotic small subunit ribosomal RNA", at positions 1759 to 1831 of the family's 1831-position model. The record is from RNAcentral. Lineage: Eukaryota; Fungi.